GUGCGGGAUUAAAAGCGUACAUCCACUGCAGUGUGAGUAAAUCAAAUCUACUCGAAUAGCCGUGCUCGCGGUUAUUGAGCGCCGGGACUUGUACUACACUUGACUAGCCUCAUAGAUUUUAAUAUUGCUUAGAUUAGGAAAGUGUUGUGACCUUGCCCGAUGGGCGGGAAUGUCACGCCCGGAAAUUCACUAGUAAUUUCCGAACUUAUUUGUGCAUAAAAUCCUCGUCCAGGAAUCAGCCGAGGUACACAAACUGACAAUUUAAUAUACAAAUCCAUCUUAAUAAUAACGUUACAUACUUACAAAGAAAAGAAAACAGCAGCGGAAUAACGAUCUAGCGACGGCUUCAGCUCCACUCCCACAGGCAGCUCAACUGGGGUAUAAGCCAAACGUCUUCUCCUUCUGGAUCCUUUAUCUUCAACUGAGGUUUGAUUGAUUAUUGCAAGAAUGAGCAUAUGACAUACUCAACAAGCCACACAGCAAAUAUGCAAGUGCACAAGGAUACCAAAGGAUGGCAUAAUAUAGGCUCAUUUGCGAAAGCAGCAUUUAGCAAAGAGUUAAGAGUAGUAAAACAGUAGAGUAAUUAAUUAAAAAUUUUAAUCAACACUGAACAGCACACCCAUGCUGCACAGGCCCAACCAUCCUGAACAACCAUACCCGGCUGUACAGAUCUAACUCCAAACCAGGAGCUAAGCAAAUUGUUACCAGUUAUAACAUCCAUAAUUAUUGUGAGAGGUGUGAGACUAAUCACGAAAAACAUUGCUCAACCCGCCCAUAACCGCGGGCACGGCUAUUCGAAUAGUUUUACUCUGGCCAGAGGUGUACCACUGUACCCACAAGACACAACCCCACAUCAUGUCACCAUGUGCCUCAAUACCACCACGGUACCUCGGAAAGGAGUUGUGACAAUACCCCUUGCACAACAUAAUCCAUUACAGCGCACCUUUCCUGGAUCAUAAUCACCCCCUUAUAAACAAGGCAUGGACUCCCCAGCGACCCCCGUGGACUUCUCGCCACUUCUCAGUCUGGCGCACUCUAAUGAAUCACGCUACACAAAAGAUAAAGCCGUUGCCCACGCUGGCUUGUGGUUGGCACGAUAAAUGUUUCACAACAGUAGCUCGCGAACCGGUCCUUAAUUGUCAUGAGCACGACUCUCAAAACCAUGUGCUCACAACCCACCAUUAUCAAGUUUUAGUUGGCAAGUAAUUAAUUAACCAAUCACGAUUGACCAUCGUGAACUAUCAUUAAGCCAUCCUUAAAUAAUAGUGAGUCAUAAGUUAUCCCAAUAGUGUGCUAAUGUUUCUAAGCAUGGCUAAGCAAUCAUAACUAAUAUCUAGCUGAACCAAUAUAUAAAGCCCAACUAGUCAAGUUAUAAUAACCCAAGGUAUCAAGGAAUAAAGUAAUCAAUGCAAAUUGGCCAUAACAAAGGAAUAAGUUCACACCACCCGGUGACAUUCGAAAAUAAAUGCACAGUUGAAAUAAAUAGAGAAUUUAAAUAUAGGAUCAACAUGCUCAAAGGAUUGUGUUUAGGAUCUGUGUGACUUGCCUUGCAAUAAUCGGUCUUCAAGUAAUCUUCUUGAUCACUUCCGACGCACUCACGAACCUUCGCAACGACGGAAACGACAAGCUAACACGCAAAACGAAGAAAAAGACUAAUAAAAACCAAAUAAACAGUACAUAUAAAGUAAACAAACAUGUAGAUCAUGAUUUUAGAUGAAUUUAGCAACUUGAACCACUCAAAACCGAGUUACGAUGAUUUAGUUAUGAAUUUCCGAAGAUUUAAUCUAUUAGAACAACAGGAAAAAGAAAAACGAUGAUGACAUCAUGAGGACCUCAUCAAUGGCCGGACCAAGAUGGCGACCUCGCCGGAGAUUGGAUGGUCGGCUGCGACUUUGGAGGACAUGUACACGUAGAGGACGACGAGACGAACCCAACGGUACUCACCCUCGAACCAAACGACGAACGACGACGGCCGGCGACGAGGUCUAGCGGCGGCACGGCUUCGGUCGACGGCGGCGACGGGACUCCGGUGACCGGCGACAGCGGGGAGAGAGCGGCCGGGCUUCUCCACACCUCGGCGCACCUUACGGCGGUGACGGCGACCGGCGGCGACGACGGAGGCGGCGGCGCGACGCGGAUGGAGCUCGGCCGGCGACGACGGCGGGGUGGAGCACGUGGCGGCGGCGCUACGAGGCACGGGAGACCACGGGAGAGGGGGCAAACGAAAGAGGAGGACUAGGGGGUCCUAUUUAUAGCCUUGGAUUGAAGAGAUCGGACUCCUCCCGCAAGAAAUCGAUCCGGGAAAUCAAAAACUCGGUUUUGGAGAUAAACUCGAAAACGAGUUCGAUUCGGAUAAAAUACUCAACGAUUUGCUCCGAUUUUUGGGGGUAAAGAUAGAGGAGGAUAAGAGGAAUAUUUCCCCUCAACUAAUUUUAGAAAAACACAAGGGAAAAGGUCAGAUUUGGAGGGGAAAACCGCGGCUAUACAGGUACUGUGCGGCUGGCUCGGGCUCUGUCUCCAGCCGGCUGGAGAUUGAAGAUGACACUGUAGCAGGGAGGCAAACUAGACUUUUUGCUGGGCUUCUACUUCUUGGCCCGAUUGAAAAAGGGACACAAAGCAGACUUUGGAGGAGGGAUAAGGCCAGCCGAAAGGAAGGGAGAAUGGGCCGAGGAUAGAAGCUGAACUUUUCCUAUUUCGGCCCGAAAAGGAGAAGGGGAUUUUAAAUACUUUUCCAAUUAAAUUAAUCACUGAAAUGAUCUUUGAAUUGUUAAAAAUACUUCCUAUGCUCAAAUAAUUCCAAGAAAAAUCUUGAAAAUACUUGGACACUCAAAGUACUUAACAAAAUUAUAAUUAGACCAUUUAAUGAUUAAUUUAAUAUGUGGGUAAUUACUGAAAUGCUCUUUGUAAGAUUAAAAUUAGGAAUUGAGCUCCGAAAAAUCCGAGAAAAUUCCAGAGAGUAUAAUUAACCAUGGAGAAUUUAAUAAAAAUUAAAUCCAUCCAUGCUUUAUAUUUAGGAAAUUUUAUUUCCCACAUUUAACUUCACUUGUAAAUUAAUGAACAUUUAAUAUAAAUUCUAUUAUUAAUUUAUUAAAUAAUUUAUAAAUCCUGAAACGAAAAUCAGGAUGUGACAGGGAAGGUCAUUGUGAUGUUGGGAAUGUGGAAAACUGGAUGUGAGGGUAAACCGGACCAAGCGAGGCUUUGGGAAUGUGGAUGAAUCCUCGCG
This 3223-nucleotide long non-coding RNA is filed under the name Oryza sativa (Asian cultivated rice). RNAcentral's name for it is "long non-coding RNA (OSAT_LNC001989)". Lineage: Eukaryota; Viridiplantae; Streptophyta; Magnoliopsida; Poales; Poaceae. The record is from RNAcentral.